Molecule: ribosomal RNA, 210 nt
Filed under: Hypocreales sp.
Lineage: Eukaryota; Fungi; Ascomycota; Sordariomycetes; Hypocreales
Description: partial large subunit ribosomal RNA
Source: RNAcentral
AAGCGCUUGUGACCAGACUUGGGCCUGCCAAAUCAGCCGGCGUUCUCGCCGGUGCACUUUGGCUGGCGCAGGCCAGCAUCGGUUCCCGUCAGGGGGAUAAAGGCGCCGGGAAUGUGGCCCCUCCGGGGGUGUUAUAGACCGGCGUGCAAUGCUCUUGCGGGGACCGAGGUCCGCACGCAGUAAGGAUGCUGGCGUAAUGGUCACCAGCGA